AUCUAACUGACGAGUCCCAAACAGAACGAAACGCGCGUCCUGGAU
Molecule: non-coding RNA, 45 nt
Filed under: Schistosoma haematobium
Lineage: Eukaryota; Metazoa; Platyhelminthes; Trematoda; Strigeidida; Schistosomatidae
Source: RNAcentral